RNAcentral lists this unclassified non-coding RNA (205 nucleotides) under Hevea brasiliensis (rubber tree). Lineage: Eukaryota; Viridiplantae; Streptophyta; Magnoliopsida; Malpighiales; Euphorbiaceae. The record is from RNAcentral.
GCAAAAUGAUCCUAAAACCUGGGUGGAUCCUGGAGAAUUCAAGCCAGAGAGAUUUGGGAGCUGCGAAGGAAUGAGAGACGGAUUCAGAUUCAUGCCUUUUGGGACAGGUAGAAGGGGAUGCCCUGGGGAAGGCUUGGCAAUGUCUAUUGUUGGAUUGGCUUUGGGAUCACUGAUUCAAUGCUUUGAGUGGGAGAAGAUUGGCGAG